Molecule: long non-coding RNA, 3254 nt
Filed under: Canis lupus familiaris (dog)
Lineage: Eukaryota; Metazoa; Chordata; Mammalia; Carnivora; Canidae
Description: lncRNA (ENSCAFG00000051672.1)
Source: RNAcentral
CACAGGGAGCUUCUCCCUCUGCCUAUUUCUCUGCCUCUCCCUGUGUGUCUCUCACGAAUAAAUACAAUCUUAAAAAAAAAAAAAAAAGGAUUCUCUCCCUGCAUCCCUUCCCCUGCUCAUGCUCUCUCUCUUUCUCUUUCUCUCAAAUAAAUAAACAAAUUUUUUUUAAAGUGACUUUAUACAGACUCAGUUUCCAAAGCUAAAACCGCUCACUACUGGCCUAGCUGGUAAAUCCCAACCAAGCUUUCUAUCACCCUAAAGCCACCGGAAACUCAUCACAGCCCACGAAACCCCGUGAACAAGAGAAACCCCUGAAGACCCUGUGAAGUCAACAACAAGGAACCUCAUGGGUAUUUAUGUCCAGGCAGUGGAUGAACACAGUAAAAGUAAAGUAAUAAUGAAUCUGGGAGAAAAUCAAGUCAGGCUCACACCCACUAACCCGUAUAAACCGUGUCUCUGCACUCAGCACGCAGGCCACCUUAGUACCAUCCCUGCCACCAGGCCACCUCAGGAAGGACAAGGCAUUUCAGUUGCAAAAGUCUUGCAAAUAUGCUUCUGCUGAGUACACAUUAACUUUUCUGUUGGUGCUCUGUUACAACAGAGAGUUCUUUUGGCUCUCCAGAAGAACUGGUUAUUACAAUAUAGGCAAAGUGCAAAAGGAGUCACAGCAUUUGAGGCCGACUUAGGGAAUGUCAUUGGUUGGAUCAAUGACAAUUGAUUGGAUCAAUUGAAGUUGUAUAAGCCAAGCUUCGCGCAAGCAAGAACUAUGACUCUGGCAUCUGCGCUCCUGUGCCGGGCACAGGAGCGCCUGGCGGGAAGCAGACGUCCACAGGUGGAAGAAUGAGGCCAGGAAAGGGUGGUGUGUUGCUCCAGUUAGGUCAGCCCUUUACCGAUUUUAAAGGCUGUCCCUAUGCAUCGCUAGAUUGGAUCUUCAUGACCUCAUCUCGAGCGGUGAGGAGGGUGAGGGAGGAAUGACACUCGGAAAGGCGUGCAGCGCUGGAAUCGAGACUCCCCCCACCCACUGCAGGACACCAGCCCCAACCACAAAGCAUCACACCUGCUCCGUUGCUCCUUCUUCCCUGUGCGUGGGUUUCCACAUAACCUUGAAUUUAGGAGUGGGUUGUUUUCCUCAUUAUUGGGUGUGCUGAGAGUGGACAUUGGGCCAAGGGAGUGUCAGUACAGCCUGUGUUAACCCCAGAGGCCCAAGCUGUCACCGUCCUCCCACAGGGACAGACUUCCGUGUUCCGGGCCAUGCAGACCUGCCGGAUCUCCUCCAGCUCCUUGGAGAGCACUCGACUGUAGCUGAGUGCGGGGCUGUGGGUGUGGCUGGAGCCCUGCCGCCUCCCCCCACCCCCGCUUGGUGAGCCUGCCACAGCUUGUCUCAUUGUGACACAUGCACGCAGGCAGCCCACACUCCAAGAGCUACGCAUGUAGGCAGCUGUCUGGAGUGGUGUUGGCUUGCCCUGCCUCCACAACCUCCGACACGCUCUUCCUCCCCUUUCAACCUCUGCUGAAACUCCUUGCCUCACUCUCUCCUGACCCAUGUUCCAGUCUUAGCUCAGAAACCACCUCUUCCAGGAAGCCCUCCAGGAACUCCCCGCCUUCUGUGCCUCCCGUAGGCUCCCCAUUCACCCUGCGUAGGCCGCCUCUGAUGGAGAUGUGAUCAGCCUCUCCGCAUGCCCAUCUUAGGCAAUCACUAGCAAGCCUCUUCCAGAUUGGAUCAUGGUGUCCUGGCAGCUCAAUAGCUCUUUGGUUUGGAGGACUUGGCCACUCCACACAAACACCGCUUCGGGUGAAUUCUGUGUGUCUGUCCCAGUGGACCUGAGCCCCGGAGGGAGCAGCUGCGUCUCAUCCAUCGUGCAUCCCUAGCACGUAGCUCAAAUCCCGCACAGAACGCCCACAAAAACCUGCACAUGGGUGUGAAUAGCAGUUUCAUUCAUAAUUGCCAAAACCUGGAAGCAACCAAGACAUCCUUCAAGAAAUGAAGGGAAAGAUAACCCGGGGUUCAUCCAGACAAUGGAAUAUUACUUGGCCCGUGUUUGUGCAGUGAGUGAAUGAAUGAACACAUGAAUGGAUGUUCAAUAUAAUAACGGAAUCAAAGUUUUACAAACUUUUCAGCAAAACCAGGAUAAUCACCAAAGCAGAUGAGUGGGCAAAUGGACAAAUGAGGACUCCUCUGUUCUCAGCUGGUAAAUGAUAAGGAACAACCCUUUACAGAUGAAGUUUUCCCAGGGGCUGUUUCUGUUGCUUCUCCCUUUUCCAGAGAGAACUCAAGGACUGCCUGCGGACAUGGAAAAUCAGAGGCCGGACAGGGCCGUGUGAUGAGGAUCAGUUCCAUCAUAAUUAACGCAAACCCAGGGGUCCCCCGUGAGAUUGCCACAGGGGGAGUGAGGGAUGGUCUGGUUUUGGGGUGGAGUCCCAAAGGAUGGUGCUUGGUUUUGUGGGGCUAAGUGUUGAAACCCUAGAAGGGAUUUUUUUUUUUUAAAGAGAGACAGAAAAAUAAAUAAAUAAAAAAUAAAGAGAGACAGAGAACACACGAGCAGUGAGGGUGGGGCAGAGAGAGCGAGGGAGAGAAUCCCAAGCAGUCUCCACGUUCAACAAGGAGGCUGAUGCGGGGCUUGAUCCCCUGACCCUGAGAUCAUGACCUGAGCUGAAAUCAAGAGUUGGACGCUUAACCAACUGAGCCACCCGGGUGCCCCUAGAAUGGAAUUUCCAAGGGUAGCCCAUAAACCAUUUGCGCUUUCAACAAAUAUCCAUUGACAGUCCGCCCUGUGCUGAGUACUAGGAAUUGAGCAGCGAAUACACAGACAGAAUGAUGCCCUCAUAGAGCUUACCUUUCGGUAGGAAAGCUAGAUAAAUAUUUCAUAUCAUUCCAGAUGAGCAUAAGAAAAAUAAAGCAGGACUUAGGGUGGUGAGGGCAGAGGCAGGACCUCUCUAAGAAGGUGACCUCUGAGCAGAGAGCUGAGUGAAGUGAAGGAGUGUACAGAGUAAGUGCUGCAGAAAGGUGGUUCACUGUUCUAAGUAGCAAGUGCAAAGGUCCUGAGGCAGGAUUGAGCUCUUAAGUUCUAGAGUAACAAGAAGGCCAGAGGUGAGAGCAGAAGGAGGGAGGAGAAGGAUUGUCAGAGGGGAGGUCAGAAUAUUGCCAAGGCCCAAAUCACGUAGGGCUUCCUAAGAGGUGGUGAGAAGUGUAGAAUUUCUCCUCAGGGUGAUGGCGACCAUUGGCAAUCUUGAACUAGAAGUGAAUAAAUCUGAUU